CCUACGGGUGGCAGCAGUGAGGAAUAUUGGUCAAUGGCCGAGAGGCUGAACCAGCCAAGCCGCGUGAGGGAAGACGGCCCUACGGGUUGUAAACCUCUUUUGUCCGGGAGCAAAGGGAGUCACGUGUGACUCAUUGAGAGUACCCGAAGAAAAAGCAUCGGCUAACUCCGUGCCAGCAGCCGCGGUAAUACGGAGGAGGCAAGCGUUAUCCGGAUUUAUUGGGUUUAAAGGGUGCGCAGGCGGCCAGGCAAGUCAGCAGUGAAAGCCCGGGGCCCAACCCCGGGACUGCUGUUGAUACUGGUUGGCUGGAGAACAGGAGCGGUAGGCGGAAUGCGUGGUGUAGCGGUGAAAUGCGUAGAUAUUAGGCGGAACACCGGUGGCGAAGGCAGCCUGCUGGACUAUUACUGACGUUGAGGCACGAAGGCGUGGGGAUCAAACAGGAUUAGAUACCCGAGUAGUC
Molecule: ribosomal RNA, 460 nt
Filed under: uncultured bacterium
Lineage: Bacteria
Description: partial 16S ribosomal RNA
Rfam family: Bacterial small subunit ribosomal RNA
Source: RNAcentral